This 76-nucleotide transfer RNA is filed under the name Acinetobacter baumannii. RNAcentral's name for it is "tRNA-Val". The stretch from base 3 to 66 matches the Rfam family "tRNA", at positions 5 to 66 of the family's 71-position model. From Rfam's summary of the family: Transfer RNA (tRNA) molecules are approximately 80 nucleotides in length. Their secondary structure includes four short double-helical elements and three loops (D, anti-codon, and T loops). Lineage: Bacteria; Pseudomonadati; Pseudomonadota; Gammaproteobacteria; Moraxellales; Moraxellaceae. The record is from RNAcentral.
GCGCUUAGCUCAGUUGGUAGAGCGUCUGCCUUACAAGCAGAAUGUCGGCGGUUCGAUCCCGUCAGCCGCUGCGCCA